UGGCAUUAGUGCUUGAGCAGCU
Molecule: microRNA, 22 nt
Filed under: Oreochromis niloticus (Nile tilapia)
Lineage: Eukaryota; Metazoa; Chordata; Actinopteri; Cichliformes; Cichlidae
Description: oni-miR-10644
Source: miRBase by way of RNAcentral